CGUGAUCGUAGUCCACCAAUCAACGCAAGCGCAAGCGGAGCUAUUCCAUGGCGGUCGGAGGUCGUCGCUUAUUAUCGAAAGGAGUGGACUCCUCAUUCCACUCAUCUUCUAUGAGGAUCACAUCAUGAAGACGGCACGCAGGGACGUCCGCCGGCCAAGUCCAUGCGGCGGUCGGUUCUCCGAAAGCCCUUUGAGAGUGACUGUUGAUGCUGAAAUGUGAAACGAUGUACGACCAUUCUCCAGCCCUUACAACGAUAAAAAAGCACGAUGCUGCCUUGUGUAACGGAAACAGACCCCUAUUUUUGGACUGUCACAGAACAGCGUUUUCUCCGGAAUAUCGCUGAUUUGGAUUUUGGACUGACGCAGAUCGAGUGAUCAGCAGUGUCAGGACAGACAUUCAAAUACAAUCUUUUAUUUUUGCUGGCAUACUUUUUACACAAAGUAAUAUAUAAUUUGUUAAUUAAGAACAUGUAAUUCGUUUUGGAAAAUCUGCAAUAUUUGAA
Molecule: long non-coding RNA, 503 nt
Organism: Mobula hypostoma (lesser devil ray)
Lineage: Eukaryota; Metazoa; Chordata; Chondrichthyes; Myliobatiformes; Myliobatidae
Exons: 3
Source: RefSeq, a predicted model, not a curated record